This 523-nucleotide long non-coding RNA is filed under the name Vigna radiata. RNAcentral describes it as "long non-coding RNA (VRAD_LNC013465)". Lineage: Eukaryota; Viridiplantae; Streptophyta; Magnoliopsida; Fabales; Fabaceae. The record is from RNAcentral.
AAUCAUUGUGUGUGAAUAUUUCUGGCACAACCAUAUGCGAGAGCGUAUCACAGCAACAUGUUAAGAUUGAUGGAAUCAGAUUCUGGUGAUCUGGUUAAAAAGAUUUUACACAAGUAUUGAAGGUGUGUUGAUUGAGAGAAAAGCCAAGGUGAAAUAAUUAGGAGAUGGAUUGUUUUUGUGAACGUGGGGGAAAGCGUCAACAAGUUAAUGAUGCCCUUUUAAUGAUUUUAGAAUUAUGGAAUAUAUGCUGAAGAAGAUGGCGUUGAAUAAUGGGAAAGCAAAUUAGAUUGGGUCACAGUCAAAAUACUGGAAGAUAAGAAUAGUAGGCAUUUCGUGUGGCAUGAGAGGAGGAAGAAAGAGAUGAGUGGAUGAUGAGGUGGGUCACCAACCUUGGAGAUUCUUGCACUUAUUUUAAAAGCUAAUUUUGUUCCAGUGCUUCUAGAACCAACAAAAAACUAAGGUUGGAAGGUGAGGGUUACCAACCAUCUCCAUAAAGAAAUUAAAAAUUCACAUGGCCGGCUCA